RNAcentral lists this ribosomal RNA (254 nucleotides) under uncultured bacterium. RNAcentral describes it as "partial 16S ribosomal RNA". It matches the Rfam family "Bacterial small subunit ribosomal RNA", at positions 524 to 776 of the family's 1533-position model. The record is from RNAcentral.
UACGUAGGGUGCGAGCGUUGUCCGGAAUUAUUGGGCGUAAAGAGCUCGUAGGCGGUCUGUCGCGUCGGUCGUGAAAACUUGGGGCUUAACCCUGAGCUUGCGGUCGAUACGGGCAUGACUGGAGUUCGGCAGGGGAGACUGGAAUUCCUGGUGUAGCGGUGAAAUGCGCAGAUAUCAGGAGGAACACCAAUAGCGAAGGCAGCUCGCUGGGACGGUAUUGACGCUAAGGCGCGAAAGCGUGGGGAGCAAACAGG